UGGCCGCCGGGUCGGUGAUCAUGCUGAGCUUCGGCUUCAGCGGGCUGGCCUCGUGGGGGCUGUUCCUGGCGACCCCGGCCGCCC
Molecule: transfer RNA, 84 nt
Filed under: Pseudonocardia hydrocarbonoxydans
Lineage: Bacteria; Bacillati; Actinomycetota; Actinomycetes; Pseudonocardiales; Pseudonocardiaceae
Description: tRNA-Arg
Source: RNAcentral